This 843-nucleotide ribosomal RNA is filed under the name uncultured archaeon. RNAcentral describes it as "bacterial SSU rRNA". It matches the Rfam family "Archaeal small subunit ribosomal RNA", at positions 23 to 859 of the family's 1478-position model. The record is from RNAcentral.
GCUACUGCCAUCAGAGUUCGACUAAGCCAUGUUAGUCGAGGGUGCCCCUUCUUCGGGAGGGGUAACCUGGCGGACGGCUCAGUAACACGUGGACAACUUACCCUUGGGACCGGGAUAACCCCUGGGAAACUGGGGCUACUACCGGAUGGAGCAUCGGUUGCUGGAAUGCACGAUGCUCGAAAGCUGAGGCGCCCAAGGAUAGGUCUGCGGCCGAUUAGGUUGUUGUUGAUGUGACGGAUUAACAAGCCUACGAUCGGUACGGGUUGUGAGAGCAAUAGCCCGGAGAUGGGUUCUGAGAAAAGAACCCAGGUCCCACGGGACGCAUCAGGCGCGAAAACUUUACAAUGUGCGAAAGCACGAUAAGGGAACUCUGAGUGCCUCCUAAGGAGGCUGUUCAGGUGUCUAAAAAGCACCUGAAGGAAGGGCUGGGUAAGACCGGUGCCAGCCGCCGCGGUAACACCGGCAGCCCAAGUGGUAGCCAUGCUUAUUGGGUCUAAAGCGUCCGUAGCCGGUUGGGCAAGUUCUUUGAGAAAUUUGACCGCUUAACGGUCAAACUUUCAGGGAAUACUGCCCGACUUGGGACCGGGAGAGGUCAGAGGUACUCCGGGGGUAGGGGUGAAAUCCAUUAAUCCCCGGGGGACCACCAGUAGCGAAGGCGUCUGACCAGACCGGGUCCGACGGUGAGGGACGAAGGCCAGGGUCGCGAACCGGAUUAGAUACCCGGGUAGUCCUGGCUGUAAACGAUGCGGGCCAGGUGUUGGCAUUACUGCGAGUGAUGCCAGUGCCGAAGGGAAGCCGUUAAGCCCGCCAUCUGGGGAGUACGGUCGCAAGGCUGAAACUUAA